RNAcentral lists this ribosomal RNA (314 nucleotides) under uncultured bacterium. Its description in RNAcentral is "bacterial SSU rRNA". It matches the Rfam family "Bacterial small subunit ribosomal RNA", at positions 28 to 334 of the family's 1533-position model. The record is from RNAcentral.
GAUGAACGCUAGCUACAGGCUUAACACAUGCAAGUCGAGGGGCAGCAUGGUCUUAGCUUGCUAAGGCCGAUGGCGACCGGCGCACGGGUGAGUAACACGUAUCCAACCUGCCUCAUACUCGGGGAUAGCCUUUCGAAAGAAAGAUUAAUACCCGAUGUUAUAGUCCUACCGCAUGAUGGGAUUAUUAAAGAAUUUCGGUAUGGGAUGGGGAUGCGUUCCAUUAGUUAGUUGGCGGGGUAACGGCCCACCAAGACAACGAUGGAUAGGGGUUCUGAGAGGAAGGUCCCCCACAUUGGAACUGAGACACGGUCCAA